This 936-nucleotide ribosomal RNA is filed under the name uncultured bacterium. Its description in RNAcentral is "bacterial SSU rRNA". It matches the Rfam family "Bacterial small subunit ribosomal RNA", at positions 60 to 982 of the family's 1533-position model. The record is from RNAcentral.
AGUCGAACGGCAGCGGGAAAGUAGCUUGCUACUUUUGCCGGCGAGUGGCGAACGGGUGAGUAAUGUAUCGGAACGUGCCCAGUAGCGGGGGAUAACUGGCCGAAAGGUCAGCUAAUACCGCAUACGCCCUACGGGGGAAAGGGGGGGAUUCUUCGGAACCUCUCACUAUUGGAGCGGCCGAUAUCGGAUUAGCUAGUUGGUGGGGUAAUGGCCUACCAAGGCGACGAUCCGUAGCUGGUUUGAGAGGACGACCAGCCACACUGGGACUGAGACACGGCCCAGACUCCUACGGGAGGCAGCAGUGGGGAAUUUUGGACAAUGGGGGAAACCCUGAUCCAGCCAUCCCGCGUGUGCGAUGAAGGCCUUCGGGUUGUAAAGCACUUUUGUCAGGGAAGAAAAGGUUCUGGCUAAUACCCGGAACUGAUGACGGUACCUGAAGAAUAAGCACCGGCUAACUACGUGCCAGCAGCCGCGGUAAUACGUAGGGUGCAAGCGUUAAUCGGAAUUACUGGGCGUAAAGCGUGCGCAGGCGGUUCGGAAAGAAGGAUGUGAAAUCCCAGGGCUCAACCUUGGAACUGCAUUCUUAACUACCGAACUAGAGUAUGUCAGAGGGGGGUAGAAUUCCGCGUGUAGCAGUGAAAUGCGUAGAUAUGCGGAGGAAUACCGAUGGCGAAGGCAGCCCCCUGGGAUAAUACUGACGCUCAUGCACGAAAGCGUGGGUAGCAAACAGGAUUAGAUACCCUGGUAGUCCACGCCCUAAACGAUGUCAACUAGCUGUUGGGCCCUUCGGGGCUUAGUAGCGUAGCUAACGCGUGAAGUUGACCGCCUGGGGAGUACGGUCGCAAGAUUAAAACUCAAAGGAUUUGACGGGGGACCCGCCCAGCGGUGGAUGAUGUGGAUUAUUUCGAUGCAACGCGAAAAACCUUACUACCCCUU